AGCGAUGCGCAGACAUCUUUGUUGUGGGCGAAACGAGGUGACCGCAGAGUCUGUCACCCAGGUUGGAGUGCGGUGGUGUGAUCUUGGCUCCCUGCAACCUCCACCUCCCAGGUUCAAGCGAUUCUCCUGCCUCAGCCUCCCAAGUAGCUGCGAUUACAGGCACCCACCACCAUGAAGAAUGGCAUUUUUAAAAGAUGGCUUUCUUAAAAAAGGAUACUCAGUUGCUCUUCUACUCAUACCAAGUCCUGCAGACACAUUCUGGGACUGCACCUUAUGAGUGCUGCUCACUCUGUUUCCUGCAGAAGACAUACAGAGCCGUUCGCAUAGAGGGCCAUGAUUUUGAUUCAGCAAUUCUUCAAACCACUGAUGCUGGUUGACCAUUUGACUUUGUUUUUGAAGUAUUUUUUACAUACAGUGUACAGAACAUUUCCGCUGGAUAUUUGGAUACUGAACAGGAGUAACAAGAGGAACAGCUCCUACCUCCCCCCUGCCCCUUCCCUCACAAGCCUGUGAGUCAGGGCAGGGGCAGCCACUGAAAGUAGCAGAGGCCUUCAUAAAGGAGAAGUUGUCAGGUAGACCUUUGGAUUAACUCCCCAAAAGCAGCCCCCUAGGAGACAGGCGACAGCACCGCAGUCAGGGGAUGCAGGCGUGGAGGCACUUCUCCAUGUUGCCAUCAUGUGAAGAAGGACAUGUUUGCUUCUGCUUCUGCCACGAGUGUUGAAGGCAAUGGUGAUGAAAGUAAAUAUUUAAAAACACUACCAUAGCUGUCCCAAAUUUCAGAAAAACAAGGUACCACUGGAACCAUUUAAUUUUGUUGGAACACAGAAUGACCAUCUUGUGAUCAGUUUUCUGCAUCUUUAAAAUACCUGGAAGGUCAUCUUUAAAUAGUACAAUCUGAUAAAAGUUUAAUACUUAGUGUAGACUUAUAUGAAUACUUCUACAUUCAUACAUUUUUGUAUACUUAUACAUUUUCAUACUCAAUUAAUGCUUAAUUCAAAAAAUAUCUGAGUACCUGCAGUGUUCCCCAUGCUACAUACUGGGCUUAAACAGCCAAAAAGACACAGUCUUUGACCUCAAAAUACUUUGAUUCUUGUAAGAAAAACUGACAAAGACAAAGAGAAGGCAAUGUGAAAACUUCUACAGUUGGGAUAACCUUGGAGGUUACAGGAUGUGGACUCACUGAAAGCUUUCUGCUGGACUUGAACUUGAAGCUGAAGUCUGAAGGACAGAUGGGUGUUGCUUAGCGAAGGGAAAGUAGGAAGCAAAGACCCCUGGACAGAGUGUAGCAGGCACAGAGGGAGCAUGACACCUUCGGGAGAGAGCCGCAAGCACCUGGGCCCAGAUCCCAGCUUUAGCUUCAUUAGCCCUGUGAACUCUGUAUGUCAGCCUUGACAUAGAAAAAAAGAGGAUACUAAACCUCCAUCUUAAAAGAGACUUGGAAGAAGCUGGGAUUAUAGGCACACCACCACACCUGGCCCCAGAAAAGGGAAUCCUUGACCUGCAAGAAUCGAGGAAUAUUGUUUCUGACAUGCUCAGUGGACCUACUGCUGGUGUUCUUAACCAUUUCCUUCCUAAGUGGAACUUCUUUUGAGGUUAAUGUUUAUAUACAAUUACUUUAACAUUGGAUUUGGGAAAUGGAACAACAUACUGCGGAUCUUUCUGCUACCGAUGAAAGAAGAAGCCAGCAUGCUCGUUCCUGUGCAUGCUGGUGAAACAGACGUGGCCUGCCCUGCCUUUCUCCAAUCUCUCUCCCGCAGCCCAGCCCAGCCCAGCCUGGUUUAAUAGCAGGGGGAGUUGGCACCGUUCACAGCUGGUUAACACCCUACUGAGCAGGUUUUGAAUGCAGAAAGACUGAGAAAACUUCACUAUUCAUGUAAGAAAAAUAGGCUCCACGGGAUCCCUUGAUCAGGAUGGUGGUAGAGGAAAUGAACUUCCAUCAGCACUGUAAUGAUCUCAGAGGGGGGACAAGUUCACAGUGUUGGGGAGAGGAAAGUGUCCUCUUAGCUGCCUCCCAUGACUUCAGGGGCCCAUUUGAUGAUAAUAGGACACUCUCUGGACAAAGCCUGCAGAUGGAUUUGAUCAAGCAAGAGAGCUGAGGAUGAAUGCGAAAAAAAAAAAAGUGGUCCUGAUGGCUCCUUGACCAUGAAAUAAAGGUCAUCAAUGAGGGAAGACAGGAGACUCCAGGAGCACAGAGACAGUGACAAAGCAAUGGAUAAAGGAAUUGUGGGUACCAGUGAGAUGGAAGGAUUAUGGGAUUUGGAGUCCUAGGGACAAAGAUGGAAAGACUGGAGGGUGCUUGGAGAGGAACUGUGAUUGGUGAUGUCAAGAUCAAGAGUACUGUCUUACAGGGGAACCAGUGACAGAGGUCAAGAAGAAGAUGAGACCACUGCAAUGGUAAUUUCAUGACAUGUACAGGUGUUGAUAAUUCCUUUGUGCUGGACAAGGUAAAACAAAGAGGGGUGAUGACUUUGAAAUGUUCUUAAUAAAAAAUUCCAGCAAUAA
Molecule: long non-coding RNA, 2502 nt
Organism: Homo sapiens (human)
Lineage: Eukaryota; Metazoa; Chordata; Mammalia; Primates; Hominidae
Gene: MFF-DT
Product: MFF divergent transcript
Exons: 14
Source: RefSeq, marked validated